This 61-nucleotide transfer RNA is filed under the name Diaphanoeca grandis. It matches the Rfam family "tRNA", at positions 6 to 64 of the family's 71-position model. Rfam says of the family: Transfer RNA (tRNA) molecules are approximately 80 nucleotides in length. Their secondary structure includes four short double-helical elements and three loops (D, anti-codon, and T loops). Lineage: Eukaryota; Choanoflagellata; Acanthoecida; Stephanoecidae. The record is from RNAcentral.
UUGUGGUGUAACGGCAAGCAUUCAAACUUCCUAAGUUUGAGAUCUGGGUUCGAUUCCCAGC